GAGAAACUGAGUCACACACACCCCGGCCCUGCCGGUGCCCCUCACUCCUGACCUGCAGCCCCCCACAGCCCUGCCGGUGCCGAUGUGACGAAGUGGGACUCUUCUUAAUGUUUCCUCUGAAUAGUGUGGGGGUGCCUCAGUUUCCCCUAGGCAGUUCUUAAGUCUCCAGGGGGUGGUGUAAGGGUGUAUGAUCGUUGCAGAGCCCUAGAGGGCAGGUGUGUGCAGGGGGCUGGACACAGAGAAUGGCCGACACCCUGUUUCCUGGCCACUGAUGGCCUGGGCCCUUCCCCCCCUGCAAGGUGAGAGCUAAAGGGCUGGAGAACAAAGGAAUCCGGUGCCCUCCUGGCCCAGGAAAGGGACAAAGCCCAGAGGAGGGGGUUGGGGGGCUGGAGGGAGUUUCAGUUUGGGGCUGGCUGGGACAUGGAGUGAAGUGCAGACGUGGUUGUCUGGCUCACUGCCCCCCAAAAUGGACCCAGCUGAGGGGUCCUGUUCUCUGCACCUACAAGCUCUGUGUCAGACCAUGUUCCUGUCGUCUAAUAAACCUUCUGUUUUACUGG
Molecule: non-coding RNA, 557 nt
Organism: Caretta caretta (loggerhead turtle)
Lineage: Eukaryota; Metazoa; Chordata; Testudines; Cheloniidae
Source: RefSeq, a predicted model, not a curated record